Molecule: long non-coding RNA, 3729 nt
Organism: Arachis stenosperma
Lineage: Eukaryota; Viridiplantae; Streptophyta; Magnoliopsida; Fabales; Fabaceae
Exons: 4
Source: RefSeq, a predicted model, not a curated record
AAUUGAUACCCUAAUUUCACAAAACGCACAAUGCAUACGUUCAGAGAAAAGGAAAGAAACGACGAGAAGCAGAGGGGAAACGGGAAGAAGAAGAGAAGAGGAGGGGAAGGGAGUUGUCACGCCUUGCCCGCCCGUCGCCGCGCCUUGCCCGCCCGUCGCCGCUCCUUCGUGGAGUCCUCCUUGGUCCCGGUUGAACAGGGAUGAAGGAGAGGCGUCGAGAGAGAGACGCGAUGGAGGUCAGAAGGAGGAGCUGCCAUCACUGCCGUCCCCCGUCCAUGGAACCGCCUUCGCGUCGCCGUUGUGCUUCGAGGUCAUCGCUCUGUGUCACUGAGAGAAGCCCGAGAUGGAGAUGAGGGAGACGCGAGCCAAGGACUGCGGCGAGGAGGAAAAGCCGCCGUCACCUUCACUGGAGCCGCGAUCGCUGUCACCGUUCUGCCUUUCCCUGAGCCGCUAAUACCACCAUAUUCUUCCAAUUCCAUUCCUGUUCCGUGAGAGUUGGCUACUGCAGUUUCUGUUUUGGGGUUUUCCGCCAUUGAAGCUACCAUCAACAGCGCCGCUCUCCAUUUUGAUUCCAAUUCCGUAAUUCGAAAACCUGUAAUGUUCUCUACCCUUAAUUUUGCUGCAUUUUGUUUAUCUCUGCAUUCUUAUUUUGGUUCCAUUAGUAAGCACCUCUGUCUUAGUAUCGCUGAGUUCUGCUUAAAUGGUUGAAAUUGUCACUGCUGCGGGCAUAAUCAAAGUUAGUGCCGUUGUCGCCGUUCCGGAUUGCGUUAAAAUUGACGCUGUUGCUGUUCCAGUUGAUGAGGCUGCCACUGUCCUUGGUUGCAGUAGGAUUAUCACUGCUGAAAUUAGAAACAAAAUAGGGGCUGUCUUGUUCAAAUUAUGCGAUUGCGACAUCGAGUAAAACAAUAUUUUCAAGGCUCGUGAGGAGAAGUACCAAUCAAGAAUAAAUGCACUUGAAACUCUUGCGGCUGGGGCCAUUGAAGAGAAUAAGGUAGUUUUUUUGUUGAUUGAGCUGAGGGUGUGGAACUUUGCUAUAGGGAAUAGAAAUGCAUAUGAGUUCUGUUGCUGAGAAGGUAUUUCUUUAUAGAUCCUCAUUUUUGUUAGAAGUUAAAACUUGAAGUUGUUAUUUUCAGCAUGAUUAAGUAGCUCAAAUUAAUUGGACUGUCAGCUCAUGUUGCUUAUUGUACACAAAGCUAGUUUUUAUGUAAAUUUGUUUGAAACUAUGCAGCAUCGUUACCUUUGUAUAUAAUAAAGUUCCUACAAGUUAAAACUUGAAGUUGUUAUUUUCAGCAUUGUUACCAUUGUCAUCGCCAGGUUACUUGUUUUUUUUACUUGUUCUGAUUAGUAAUUUAGGAUUGUUGAAACUUCAAAUUGUUACUUGUAUUUGGUUUUGAUUUAUUCUUAAUUUAGGUGAUAUUUGUCAAUGAUAUUUGCCUCUUUGUUAAACAACACCAUUAUACUUUAUCAUAAAUCAUGUUCAUAUACAAUACUUCUACAAUUUAUGCAGUUCUGUGAAUAUAAUCUUAGUGUUAUUAACUGAUUUUUCUGUUGAAUAUUCCAAAAAAUCCAAGUUAAGUCUUCCUCUCAUGAAAAUCCUUAAGGAAAAUUUUAUGGGGACUCAUACUCCUGAACUAGAAUUAAUGAAAAUUUUAUGCUGCUCUUCUUCUCUCCAUUCUCAUCACUCUUUUCUAAAUUUACAUACUUUAAUUUGUUCUUUGAUCCUAUCAUGUUCAUAUGCUACAGAGAAUUGAUUAAUUAAUUAAUUGUGUAUAGUUAAUAUUGAUCUUCUUGUUAAUGAAGAGUAGAUUAAUUGAUCAUUUCUACCAUUGACAUUUUUCUUGGUUUUGUAGAUCUGUGAUCUGGUUGCUGUUGCUAGGUUUUUAAAUGCAACUCUCAUAAUUCCUGAAAUUCAAGAAAGUACUCGCUCAAAAGGAAUUAGCUCUAAGUUCAAUAGCUUUUCCUAUAUCUAUAAUGUUGAUCAGUUCAUAGCCUAAAGCAAUCUAAGUUCUGCCAGAAGGUCUGAUGGAAAGGAGAAGAAAAAAUGAAAUUCCUUCAUUUAAGACUACAAGUUCUGCUUCUCCAGACUUUUACCUGGAUCAAAUUUUACCAAAGUUAAAGCAAUCAAAGGUUAUGGGAUUAAUUAUUACAGAUGGUGGGGCUCUGCAGGUAUUUUCUGGCUGAAAUUGAGGGAUCUGAGCAAAAAUCUGAUUCAGAGGCUGAAAAGGACUGCAGAUGCUAUUGGAUUCUGACCUCCCUGCACUCGAAGUGAAUUUUCAGGAGCUACAGAAGUCCAAUUGGCGUGCUCUUAAUUGCGUUGGAAAGUAGACAUUCUGGGCUUUCCAGCAAUAUAUAAUAGUCCAUUCUUUGCCCGAGAUUUGAUGGCCCAAAUAGGCGUUCCAAGUCAGCUCAAGAAUUCUGGCGUAAAACGCCGGAACUGGCACAAGAAUGGGAGUUAAACGCCCAAACUGGCACAAAAGCUGGCGUUUAACUCCAAGAAAAGUCUCUACACAUGAAAGCUUCAAUGCUCAGCCCAAGCACACACCAAGUGGGCCCGGAAGUGGAUUUUUAUGUCAUUUACUCAUUUCUGUAAACCCUAGGCUACUAGUUCUCUAAAAAUAGGACCUUUUGCUAUUGUAUUUCAUAUCUUUUGAUCAUUUUCGAUCUUAGGAUCAUCUUUGGACGUCUAGUUCUUAGAUCAUUGGCAGGCUGGCCAUUCGGCCAUGCCUAGACCUUGUUCUUAUGUAUUUUCAAUGGUGGAGUUUCUACACACCAUAGAUUAAGGUGUGGAGCUCUGCUGUACCUCAAGUAUCAAUGCAAUUACUAUUGUUCUUCUAUUCAAUUCGGCUUAUUCUUGUUCUAAGAUAUCACUUGUUCCUCAACUUGAUGAAUGUGAUGAUCCGUGACAUUCAUCAUCAUUCUCACCUAUGAACGUGUGCCUGACAACCACCUCCGUUCUACCUUAGAUUGAGUGGAUAUCUCUUGGAUCCCUUAAUUGGAAUCUUCGUGGUAUAAGCUAGAAUUGAUGGCGGCAUUCAAGAGAAUCCGAAAGGUCUAAACCUUGUCUGUGGUAUUCUGAGUAGGAUUCAAGGAUUGAAUGACUGUGACGAGCUUCAAACUCCUGAAGGCUGGGCGUUAGUGACAGACGCAAAAGAAUCCCUGGAUUCUAUUCCAACCUGAUUGAGAACCGACAGAUGAUUAGCCGUGCUGUGACAGAGCGCGUUGAACAUUUUCACUGAGAGGACGGGACUGUAGCCACUGACAACGGUGAUGCCUAACAUACAGCUUACCAUGGAAAGGAGUAAGAAGGAUUGGAUGAAGACAGUAGGAAAGCAGAGAGACGGAAGGGACAAAGCAUCUCCAUACGCUUAUCUGAAAUUGAUGAGCGGAUAAUUUAUACACUUUUUGGCAUUAUUUUUAGUAUGUUUUUAGUAUGAUCUAGUUAGUUUUUAGUAUAUUUUUAUUAGUUUUUAGUUAAAAUUCACUUUUCUGGACUUUACUAUGAGUUUGUGUGUUUUUCUGUGAUUUCAGGUAUUUUCUGGCUGAAAUUGAGGGAUCUGAGCAAAAAUCUGAUUCAGAGACUGAAAAGGACUGCAGAUGCUGUUGGAUUCUGACCUCCCUGCACUCGAAGUGGAUUUUCUGGAGCUACAGAAGCCCAAUUGGCGCGCUCUCAACGGCGUUGGAAAGUAGACAUCCUGGGCUUUCCAGCAAUAUAUAAUAGUCCAUACUUUG